RNAcentral lists this non-coding RNA (45 nucleotides) under Schistosoma mansoni. Lineage: Eukaryota; Metazoa; Platyhelminthes; Trematoda; Strigeidida; Schistosomatidae. The record is from RNAcentral.
UUCCAGCUGGUGAGUCUCAAAUAGGACGAAACGCGCGUCCUGGAU